ACGAACGCUGGCGGCAGGCUUAACACAUGCAAGUCGAACGGGUGUAGCAAUACAUCAGUGGCGCACGGGUGAGUAACGCGUGGGAACAUGCCCCUUAGUACGGGACAACGUCGGGAAACUGACGCUAAUACCGUAUAAUAUCUCCGGAUCAAAGAUUUAUCGCUGAGGGAGUGGCCCGCGUCUGAUUAGCUAGUUGGUGAGGUAAUGGCUCACCAAGGCUACGAUCAGUAGCAGGUCUGAGAGGAUGAUCUGCCACACUGGGACUGAGACACGGCCCAGACUCCUACGGGAGGCAGCAGUUAGGAAUAUUGGACAAUGGGCGAAAGCCUGAUCCAGCCAUGCCGCGUGUGUGAUGAAGGCCUUAGGGUUGUAAAGCACUUUCGUUGGGGAUGAUAAUGACCGUACCCAAAGAAGAAGCACCGGCUAACUUCGUGCCAGCCGCCGCCGUAA
Molecule: ribosomal RNA, 450 nt
Filed under: uncultured bacterium
Lineage: Bacteria
Description: partial 16S ribosomal RNA
Rfam family: Bacterial small subunit ribosomal RNA
Source: RNAcentral